Molecule: signal recognition particle RNA, 313 nt
Filed under: Thermoplasmatota archaeon
Lineage: Archaea; Methanobacteriati; Thermoplasmatota
Description: signal recognition particle sRNA
Rfam family: Archaeal signal recognition particle RNA
Source: RNAcentral
GUAUGGACUAGACCGGGAAGUUAGGCGUCUCCUGUCACCGGAAAUCGCCUUCAGUCGGGGUCGACGUCCAACGGCGGCGUGGAGCCCAGGCAGCGAUCCAGCGUUGGACAAUGAAAUCCCGUCCCCUGGGACCAGAGGUGAUGGUCGCAGCCGGCCGGAGGGUCGUCUGCCCAUCUUGGUUUCGGACAGAGGGUCAGGCCCGGAAGGGAGCAGCCCGGCCGAAGACUAAUGGUGCUCAGGGGGUCGCGGGAUUGAGAAAAAUGCUGGGCCGUCGCUGCAGGGAGCUCCCCGCCCACCGCGGACAUGUCCAUAC